RNAcentral lists this ribosomal RNA (251 nucleotides) under uncultured bacterium. RNAcentral describes it as "partial 16S ribosomal RNA". It matches the Rfam family "Bacterial small subunit ribosomal RNA", at positions 83 to 334 of the family's 1533-position model. The record is from RNAcentral.
CUUUGCUGGCGACCGGCGCACGGGUGAGUAACACGUAUCCAACCUGCCCUUUACUCGGGGAUAGCCUUUCGAAAGAAAGAUUAAUACCCGAUAGCAUAAUGAUUCCGCAUGGUUUCAAUUAUUAAAGGAUUCCGGUAAAGGAUGGGGAUGCGUUCCAUUAGGUUGUUGGUGAGGUAACGGCUCACCAAGCCUUCGAUGGAUAGGGGUUCUGAGAGGAAGGUCCCCCACAUUGGAACUGAGACACGGUCCAA